GCUGCCCGAGGCCAUAUUAGGAAUUAGGGUUCCUCUUUCGAGGCCAUUCGAGCUUUUGAGGCUAGGGUCAGAAGGUUUAGGAUUUUGGGUAUAAUUUGGGUGAAGAUUUUGUGUGAUUUCGAGUUUUUAUGGAAAAGAUAUGAAUGUUCAAAGAUAAGGUGUCAAUUUCGUACCUACUGUCACUUCUUUUGGGCAUCACAUACGAAUACAGAGAGCAACGGAAGAUCGGCGACUGGAUUUGGAGGGAGCAUUUUUUCGGCUACACAUUCUACUUACUGUAUAGUGAAUUCUAAGAUUGGGUGAAGGAGUUAUGAGGCGUUGAAGACAGCACUUGUAAUUUGAAGGCAGUAAGUAUAUCGUUUUGUUGCUAGUUAUGGGUGAAGCCAUAUCUUGAGUUUCUGGACGAAUUUUUGACUUAAAAUUUCCACAAGUGUGUAUAAUUGGAUUAAGAAGCUUUAAAUCAAAGUUUCAUAGUAUUUAAAUAAUUACUUUGUGAGAUAUGAAGGAAUUUGUACACGGGUGUAAAAAAGCUAGGGUUUGAAGCUACAGUUAGGGUUUUCAAGAUAUCACAAGAUCCAAGACGAAUUUAUGGUUGAAUUUUGGUGUGGUAGUUGCUAAAGAUAUAUCAGUACUCCACGUAAAAUUUGGAGUUGUUUAGACGGUUAGAUCGUAAGUUAUGAGCUGUUGAACUUUGGG
RNAcentral lists this long non-coding RNA (696 nucleotides) under Physcomitrium patens. RNAcentral describes it as "long non-coding RNA (PPAT_LNC010478)". The record is from RNAcentral. Lineage: Eukaryota; Viridiplantae; Streptophyta; Bryopsida; Funariales; Funariaceae.